RNAcentral lists this ribosomal RNA (466 nucleotides) under uncultured bacterium. RNAcentral's name for it is "partial 16S ribosomal RNA". It matches the Rfam family "Bacterial small subunit ribosomal RNA", at positions 28 to 523 of the family's 1533-position model. The record is from RNAcentral.
GAUGAACGCUGGCGGCGUGCCUAACACAUGCAAGUCGAGCGAACCCUUCGGGGUGAGCGGCGGACGGGUGAGUAACGCGUGGGUAACCUGCCCUAUACACACGGAUAACGUACCGAAAGGUACGCUAAUACGGGAUAAAGUUGUUGGAUGGCAUCUUCUAACAAUCAAAGCUCUGGCGGUAUAGGAUGGACCCGCGUCUGAUUAGCUAGUUGGUGAGGUAAUGGCUCACCAAGGCGACGAUCAGUAGCCGACCUGAGAGGGUGAUCGGCCACACUGGAACUGAAACACGGUCCAGACUCCUACGGGAGGCAGCAGUGGGGAAUAUUGCACAAUGGGCGAAAGCCUGAUGCAGCAACGCCGCGUGAGCGAUGAAGGUCUUCGGAUCGUAAAGCUCUGUCCUCAAGGAAGAUAAUGACGGUACUUGAGGAGGAAGCCCCGGCUAACUACGUGCCAGCAGCCGCGGUAA